AGCGUGAAGGGCCAGAGGAUGGUGCUCGAGGCUGGGGCCUAGGACCCCAGCAAGGAGCCCAGGCUAGGGACCUAGAGAAGUGCCCAUGCCAGGAGAGAGCAGGGAAGGGCAAGGUUGGGCUAGUGGGUGGCACUAGUGGACUUCAGUGCAGGGAAACCAAGGGGUACAUGAAAGCGGCCCAAGCAAGGGGCCCGCAAUCAACACCUAGGGAUGCACUGGUCAACAAGGGCCACCAGAGACUCAAGCGAAGAGCCAUGCUAGGGACUGGAGAGCCAAGGGCCAGGGCUGGGGCAGUGGGCUCAGGACAGUUGACAGGGCUCAGCAGGGAAGGCAGGCCAUCCAGCAUGGGGGAGGCAAGC
Molecule: long non-coding RNA, 359 nt
Filed under: Marmota monax (woodchuck)
Lineage: Eukaryota; Metazoa; Chordata; Mammalia; Rodentia; Sciuridae
Source: RNAcentral